UGGAGCUACUUUCAUGGCCAGGAGGCCAGCAGAAUCUAGAUGACUAGAUCGGGAAAAUCGAUCCCAUUGAUCUGCCAUGAUGCUUCAUUGCUUCGGUCAAUCUCGACCAGACGACCACCUCAAUGAAAAUUGAAAUCGCUUGGUGAUUGUAUUCAGAUAUUCUUGUUCUUCAAUUCAUCAAUUGCUCCUCCUAUAUCGAUUCUCAUCACCAGUUGUCGAGAACUGCUGCUUCAUAUGUGGAAGGUCAGUGUCGAGAAGCCCUCAGAAGCAGGGGGCCACAAUUCCUUUGAGAAAGCUUGAAAAAAAAUAAAAGAAGUUCAAGCCCCACCGAGCUUCCAAUCAUGGAUUCGCCCCUGGUUGAGUUUGAGGAAGACAACGACACUUUUGCUGAUAAACAGCCCCGCCCAAGCCUCGAGGUCGACGACGACGAUGACCUUGAUUCGAGCAAGGUGAAGAGUGAUAAAUCGGCUUUGGAAGCUAGAAAUGGAAAGGAUAUACAGGGAAUACCAUGGGAGAGGCUUAAUUUCACCAGAGAUAAGUACUGUUGUAUGAGUGGCCUUGAUUUUCAGCCGGAUUGAUUUUUUUUUGCUUGUGUAGUAACUCUUAUGAAUGUUAUAGGAGUGCUUGCAAGUGGAGAAGGGGAAAAGUUUCUAUGACUCACAAGGCUUGUCAAGUCGACAAUUGUGCAUUUUCAGUGCAUACAAGGAAAUUUUGGAGGUUGAACCCCCUGAAUGGCUUCCUGACCGUUCGACUAAAGUUUGCAUGCAGUGCACUUCUCCUUUCACUGCCUUAACUCGUGGCACUGUGAGGAAAUGGCCAACCUCUUUAAGC
Molecule: long non-coding RNA, 831 nt
Organism: Rosa chinensis
Lineage: Eukaryota; Viridiplantae; Streptophyta; Magnoliopsida; Rosales; Rosaceae
Exons: 6
Source: RefSeq, a predicted model, not a curated record